This 369-nucleotide ribosomal RNA is filed under the name uncultured organism. Its description in RNAcentral is "bacterial SSU rRNA". It matches the Rfam family "Bacterial small subunit ribosomal RNA", at positions 526 to 896 of the family's 1533-position model. The record is from RNAcentral.
CGGAGGGUGCAAGCGUUAUCCGGAUUCACUGGGUUUAAAGGGUGCGUAGGAGGGCAGGUAAGUCAGUGGUGAAAUCUCCAAGCUUAACUUGGAAACUGCCGUUGAUACUAUCUGUCUUGAAUACCGUGGAGGUGAGCGGAAUAUGUCAUGUAGCGGUGAAAUGCUUAGAUAUGACAUAGAACACCAAUUGCGAAGGCAGCUCGCUACACGAAUAUUGACUCUGAGGCACGAAAGCGUGGGGAUCAAACAGGAUUAGAUACCCUGGUAGUCCACGCCCUAAACGAUGGAUACUCGACAUACGCGAUACACAGUCGUGUGUCUGAGCGAAAGCAUUAAGUAUCCCACCUGGGAAGUACGACCGCAAGGUUG